RNAcentral lists this ribosomal RNA (492 nucleotides) under uncultured bacterium. Its description in RNAcentral is "partial 16S ribosomal RNA". It matches the Rfam family "Bacterial small subunit ribosomal RNA", at positions 28 to 507 of the family's 1533-position model. The record is from RNAcentral.
GAUGAACGCUAGCUACAGGCUUAACACAUGCAAGUCGAGGGGAAACGACAUCGAAAGCUUGCUUUUGAUGGGCGUCGACCGGCGCACGGGUGAGUAACGCGUAUCCAACCUGCCCAUCACUUGGGAAUAACCUUGCGAAAGUAAGACUAAUACCCAAUGACAUCCCUCGAAGACAUCUGAAUGGGAUUAAAGAUUUAUCGGUGAUGGAUGGGGAUGCGUCUGAUUAGCUUGUUGGCGGGGUAACGGCCCACCAAGGCAACGAUCAGUAGGGGUUCUGAGAGGAAGGUCCCCCACAUUGGAACUGAGACACGGUCCAAACUCCUACGGGAGGCAGCAGUGAGGAAUAUUGGUCAAUGGGCGAGAGCCUGAACCAGCCAAGUAGCGUGCAGGAUGACGGCCCUAUGGGUUGUAAACUGCUUUUAUAAGGGAAUAAAGUGGGUCUCGUGAGACUUUUUGCAUGUACCUUAUGAAUAAGGACCGGCUAAUUCCGUG